AAGUCGUAACAAGGUUUCCGCAGGUGAACCUGCGGAAGGAUCAUUAUUAGUUCAAACUUAUUAGUUUUUAAACAUAUUUAUAAGUAUACAUGAUAUAUGGUAUACAAUGAUAAACAACACGUUUAUGGGUGCCUAUUUAACCAGUACAUUUACUGACUACUAUUAAGGUCAGUAUAUAGUGUGCAAGGUUUAAAGAAUCAAUUAUAAAGGUUUGAUCGCCCUUAGACAAAAACGUAUUCAAUAUUAUUAUUUCAUCUAUUAUUAUCAUUAUCAUAAUAAUAUGAUCCCUUUUCGUGAUAAACAAUUAGGUAGAUCAAACUUAAAAUACGGAUCGCUGUAUUACAUUCUGUGCAUUACAUAAGCAUCUGUAUAUUACAUAUAACUUUGAGCGAUGGAUCACUCGGCUCACA
RNAcentral lists this unclassified non-coding RNA (410 nucleotides) under fungal sp. RNAcentral's name for it is "partial internal transcribed spacer region". The stretch from base 1 to 46 matches the Rfam family "Eukaryotic small subunit ribosomal RNA", at positions 1786 to 1831 of the family's 1831-position model. Lineage: Eukaryota; Fungi. The record is from RNAcentral.